This 1086-nucleotide long non-coding RNA is filed under the name Betta splendens (Siamese fighting fish). RNAcentral's name for it is "lncRNA (ENSBSLG00000023545.1)". Lineage: Eukaryota; Metazoa; Chordata; Actinopteri; Anabantiformes; Osphronemidae. The record is from RNAcentral.
AUGUGUUGGAGUUUUCCCCGGUGGACGAGAGGGUCGCUUCCCUGCGCCUUCGGGUGGGGGAUAGGUCACUCACCGUCAUUUGUGCUUACGGGCCGAAUGGCAGUGUGGAGUACCCGGCCUUCUUGGGGGUCCCUGGAGGGAGUGUUGGAAAGCGCUCCAACUGGGGACCCCAUCGUUCUUCUGGGAGAUUUCAAUGCCCACGUAGGUAACGACAGUGAUACCUGGAGAGGCGUGAUUGGGAGGAACGGCCUCCCUGAUCUGAACCCGAAUGGUGUUAUGUUAUUGGACUUCUGUGCUAGGCACAGUUUGGCCAUAACUAACACCAUGUUCGAACAUAAGGGUGUCCAUCGGUGCACGUGGCACCAGGACACCCUAGGCCGGAGGUCGAUGAUAGACUUUGUAGUCGUUUCACCUGACCUUCGGCCAUAUGUUUUGGACACUCGGGUGAAGAGAGGGGCUGAGCUGUCAACUGAUCACCACCUGGUGGUGAGUAGGAUCCGCUGGCAGAGAAGGAGGCUGGAACGACUUGGCAGGCCCAAACGUAUUGUGAGGGUCUGUUGGGAACGCCUGGCUGAACCCUCUGUCAGACGGACCUUUAACUCACACCUCCGGGAGAGCUUCGACCAGAUUCCGAGGGAGGUGGGAGACAUAGAGUCCGAGUGGACCAUGUUCUCCGUCUCCAUUGUCAACGCGGCCGUUCGGAGCUGUGGACGCAGGGUCUCCGGUGCCUGUCGUGGUGGUAAUCCCCGAACCCGGUGGUGGACGCCGGAGGUAAGGGACGCCAUCAAGCUGAAGAAGGAGUCCUACCAGGUAUGGUUGACCUGUGGGACUCCUGAGGCAGCUGAUGGGUACCGGCAGGCCAAGCGUGCUGCAGCCCGUGCCGUUGCGGAGGCAAAAACUCGGGCUUGGGAGGAGUUCGGGGAGGCCAUGGAGGAGGACUAUCGCUCGGCCUCAAAGAGAUUCUGGCAAACCGUCCGGCGCCUCAGGAGGGGGAAGCAGUUCUUUAACCAACUCUGUUUUCAGUGGAGGUGGGGAGCUGUUGACCUCAACUGGGGAUGUUAUCGGACGGUGGAAGGAGUACUUUGA